GUAGGGAGCAAGCGUUAUCCGGAAUUAUUGGGUGUAAAGGGUGCGUAGACGGGAUAACAAGUUGGUUGUGAAACCCCUCGGCUUAACUGAGGAACUGCAACCAAAACUAUUAUUCUUGAGUGCAGGAGAGGAAAGUGGAAUUCCUAGUGUAACGGUGAAAUGCGUAGAUAUUAGGAAGAACACCGGUGGCGAAGGUGACUUUCUGGACUGUAACUGACGUUGAGGCACGAAAGUGUGGGGAGCAAA
This 246-nucleotide ribosomal RNA is filed under the name uncultured bacterium. Its description in RNAcentral is "partial 16S ribosomal RNA". It matches the Rfam family "Bacterial small subunit ribosomal RNA", at positions 527 to 772 of the family's 1533-position model. The record is from RNAcentral.